This is a non-coding RNA of Myodes glareolus (Bank vole), 832 nucleotides long. Lineage: Eukaryota; Metazoa; Chordata; Mammalia; Rodentia; Cricetidae. The record is from RefSeq and is a predicted model, not a curated record.
GACCACCGAAGAGGCAGCAUGUAACUUGCCCAGCUGAGAAAGGUCACUCCUGCUGUUUGGGCCAAGACCAGCUCAUAAAGAGCUCUCCAGACAAAGCCAAACACCUGCACCAGCUCCUGGGACUUCACCAUUGCCACCUAGCCACCUGCCUUCUUAUCUCUCUCUAAAAGCAGCUGACUGAGGACUAUAGGAUGACAGCAAACCAGAUGCUGCUCCAGCCACCCCUCUCACUGAGCUUGAGCCCACCUCCCAGCUCUCCCCUCUCCCACAUUGCCCCCGGAAGUAGUCAGACUUGAGUCGAUGCCCCUAUAUCCGAGGACUCUGGGAUGUUUAGUCAAAGUGAGACUCCAACCACUGGCACCCCUAUAUCCAAGGACUCUGGGAUGUUUGGAUUGGAAGUAUCACCCCAACCCCUGGCAUUCAUUCUUGGGGUGCCAAUGGAGUGCAGAAGGCUCCAUCUCAAGCCCCCUUCCCCUGGAAAUUGCCUUGGUCUGGACUCCUCCUCUGGAAAUGCCCACCAAGUGUUGACCUCUCCCCAGGGAGGGUCAGGACCACUCCCACAGACUAUUUAGGCUACCGGAACAUGUGGUUUUUGGGUUUUGUGUGGUUCCCCGCACCCUCUCUCUCUCUCCCUUUCACCAGGCUCCUAGCCACCCAGGAGCACAACAUUUAUUAAAUGUUGGAAUUUUUUAUUCGGUCUAAUUUGGUCUGAUUGGAAUUGUUUGGGUUGGUGGAGAGGUUUGUCUUAAGAUUAUUUCUAACAACAGAAAUUCUGAAUUUUUCUUUUAACAACAUGCGUAGAUUUAGAGAAGGAUAGCCAUUGUCCAACUUC